This 691-nucleotide ribosomal RNA is filed under the name uncultured fungus. Its description in RNAcentral is "eukaryotic LSU rRNA". The stretch from base 257 to 410 matches the Rfam family "5.8S ribosomal RNA". The record is from RNAcentral. Lineage: Eukaryota; Fungi.
AAGUCGUAACAAGGUUUCCGUAGGUGAACCUGCGGAAGGAUCAUUAAUGAGUUGUGAUGGGGUUUGAUGCUGGCAGCCAAAUUUUGGAUGCAUGUGCUUGCCCUGACAAUCAUCUUCCAAACACCUGUGCACAUUUUUGAGGGAGUUUCGAGUUAAUUGCCACUUUUGGUGAUUUUCUCGCGUUCCCUUAAAUUUUAUUAUACGCUGUUAACAAAUGCUGAACGUGCUUUGUGCCGCAAGGCCCUUAAUAUAAUACAACUUUUAACAACGGAUCUCUUGGCUCUCGCAUCGAUGAAGAACGCAGCGAAAUGCGAUAAGUAAUGUGAAUUGCAGAAUUCAGUGAAUCAUCGAAUCUUUGAACGCACCUUGCGCUCCCUGGUAUUCCGGGGAGCACGCCUGUUCGAGUGUCGUGAAAUUUCUCAAGCUUGGAUGGCUUUUUUGUCCGUCCUUAGCCUUGGUUGUUGGGCUUUGCCGUGCCCUUCAUUGGGACGGCUGGCCUUAAAAGCAUUAGCUGAUCCUCGUGUGGCACUGGUUCUACUCAGCGUGGUAAUAGUCUGAUCGCUGAGGACAUCCUUUGGGAUGGCCAGUCCUCAUUUGGGUUGCUUCUAAACCUGGUCUUGCAGAUUCUUCAAUCUGUGUUCCACUUUUCAGCUUUGACCUCGAAUCAGGUGGGACUACCCGCUGAACUUAA